This 1486-nucleotide ribosomal RNA is filed under the name uncultured Bordetella sp. Its description in RNAcentral is "partial 16S-23S ribosomal RNA intergenic spacer". It matches the Rfam family "Bacterial small subunit ribosomal RNA". Lineage: Bacteria; Pseudomonadati; Pseudomonadota; Betaproteobacteria; Burkholderiales; Alcaligenaceae. The record is from RNAcentral.
CAAGAGAGUUUGAUCAUGACAGAUUGAACGCUGGCGGGAUGCUUUACACAUGCAAGUCGAACGGCAGCACGGACUUCGGUCUGGUGGCGAGUGGCGAACGGUGGUAUUGUAAUGCGGAACGUGCCUAGUAGCGGGGGAUAACUACGCGAAAGCGUAGCUAAUACCGCAUACGCCCUUCGGGGGAAAGCGGGGGACCUUCGGGCCUCGCACUAUUAGAGCGGCCGAUAUCGGAUUAGCUGGUUGGUGGGGUAACGGCUCACCAAGGCGACGAUCCGUAGCUGGUUUGAGAGGACGACCAGCCACACUGGGACUGAGACACGGCCAGACUCCUACGGGAGGCGGCAGUGGGGUACCUGGACAAUGGGGAAACCCUGAUCCAGCCAUCCCGCGUGUGCGAUGAAGGCCUUCGGGUUAUGGCAAAGCGCUUUUGGCAGGAAAGAAACGGCACCGGACCCAGCCACCGAUGCAACCGAAGAAGCCAGUACCUGCAGAAUAAGCACCGGCUAACUACGUGCCAGCAGCCGCGGUGGCCGUAGGGUGCAAGCGUUAAUCGGAAUUACUGGGCGUAAAGCGUGCGCAGGCGGUUCGGAAAGAAAGAUCUUGAAAUCAAACUUAACUUUGGAACUGCAUUUUUAACUACCGAGCUAGAGUGUGUCAGGGAGGUGGAAUUCCGCGUCGUAGCAGUGAAAUGCGUAGAUAUGCGGAGGAACGCCGAUGGCGAAGCGGCAUACGGGGAUAACACUGACGCUCAUGCACGAAAGCGUGGGGAGCAAACAGGAUUAGAUACCCUGGUAGUCCACGCCCUAAACGAUGUCAACUAGCUGUUGGGGCCUUCGGGCCUUGGUAGCGCAGCUAACGCGUGAAGUUGACCGCCUGGGGAGUACGGUCGCAAGAUUAAAACUCAAGAUUGACGGGGACCCGCACAAGAAGCGGUGGAUGAUGUGGAUUAAUUCGAUGCAACGCGAAAAACCUUACCUACCCUUGACAUGUCUGGAAUCCCGAAGAGAUUUGGGGAGUGCUCGCAAGAGAACCGGAACCUGGGUGCUGCAUGGCUGUCGUCAGCUCGUGUCGUGAGAUGUUGGGUUAAGUCCCGCAACGAGCGCAGCCUUGUCAUUAGUUGCUACGAAAGGGCACUCUAAUGAGACUGCCGGUGACAAACCGGAGAAGGUGGGGAUGACGUCAAGUCCUCAUGGCCCAUAUGGGUAGGGCUUCACACGUCAUGCAAUGGUCGGGACAGAGGGGUCGCCAACCCGCGAAGAGCCAAUCCAGAAACCCGAUCGUAGUCCGGAUCAUGAUCUGCAACUCGACUGCGUGAAGUCAGGAUCGCUAGUAAUCGCGGAUCAGCAUGUCGCGGUGCGUUCCCGGGUCUUGUACACACCGCCCGUCACACCAUGGGAGUGGGUUUUACCGAAGUAGUUAGCCUAACCGUAAGGAGGGCGAUUACCACGGUAGGAUUCAUGACUGGGGUGAAGUCGUAAUGAGCCAG